GCCUCAUUGAAGAAUUAAGGGGCAUCAGCAAGAUAUCAUAGCACUUUGUCCAUUCUGGAUGCGCUCUGUACCGCGGAGAGGUGAUCUACAAGCACUUAAGAGAAGAGAGCAGCUUCGGAUCCAACGGCAAAAUAGGAUUUAUGAUGUAGCGAGCACAAAUUCCCUGUCAGACCUUUUGACUAAAUCAACAUUAAUUGAAUCAUUGGGUAUUACUUUGGAGACUGGUCCUUUACCAGGCUUGCAUAUAAGGGCCUGUUCUCAUGCCAUUGGGAAAUGGCAAUUAUCUAACAUAAUGAAGGCUACCAUACAUCGUUAAGCUAUUCUACACCUGACCCUCAUUUGAUUAUGUUAUCAUGGGAGAGUUUUCUAUUAAUGUGUUCCUCAUAAGGGACUUUAUUCUGACACUAGUUGCUCACAAUAGAGAUUAAUUGUGUAUUUUCCCAGGACUAUUCUGAGCAAAGAGCAUUUAGAUGGAGAUUCUUUCAGACCACCAUGUCAUUAAUCUUCAUUUACUUUAGAGGAUUUGGACGGAAAUAAAAUAAAGAUUCAUCCAGCAUUAGGAUAAACAGAGUAGGGUUGUUGUGGAUAUUUCUCUUGUAAGGAAAUCAAACCCAAAUGCAUACAGGGUUGGAUUCUGCCUCUUAGCUAAACACUAUACGCAAAAGUAUAAUAUCUUUCUCCAACACAAACAUACAUGCGCAAGCACACACAGACAGACACACAGACACACAGACACACACACAGACACAGACACACACACACAGACACACACACACACAGACACACACACACAGACACAAACACACACACACACACAGACACACACACACACACAGUCAUGAAGAAGUAAAAUAUUUAAAUAGUGACAUUUUGACAGUCAGAUGUCAGGCCAUUAAUGCAUACUGUGGGUUGAUGGGAAAACAAACACAAAAACACACAACGCACAUACCAAUGCAUAAACACAUGCCUAUUCACAUGGCAACAUCAACAUUCCAAUCACAUGGGUAUGGGUUAGAGGUGAGGUUGCUAUGCGCCAGUGUCAUUCCAUAGCUGUUCUUCAAAGAAACAAGUUGACUAGUAAUGGGUCUGAAUGUGCAGCAGAGUCUGUUUACUACUGAUUGUAGUUGCGGUGGACAUGGGUUGUGUGGGGGAACGAAUGGAUCUCCCCUCCGCUCCAUUGUAUCAAAGCCAGCCUAAACCACUUCAAGUCCACUCCUCUCUUUACUGUCACUGCACCCUGCUCGAGCUACACUAGGCCUGCCCACUGCACCCUGCUCGAGCUACACUAGGCCUGCCCACUGCACCCUGCUCGAGUUACACUAGGCCUGCCCACUGCACCCUGCUCGAGCUACCCUAGGCCUGCCCACUGCACCCUGCUCGAGUUACACUAGGCCUGCCCACUGCACCCUGCUCGAGCUACACUAGGCCUGCCCACUGCACCCUGCUCGAGUUACACUAGGCCUGCCCACUGCACCCUGCUCGAGCUACACUAGGCCUGCCCACUGCACCCUGCUCGAGCUACACUAGGC
This 1529-nucleotide long non-coding RNA is filed under the name Salmo salar (Atlantic salmon). RNAcentral's name for it is "lncRNA (ENSSSAG00000114333.1)". Lineage: Eukaryota; Metazoa; Chordata; Actinopteri; Salmoniformes; Salmonidae. The record is from RNAcentral.